UGCUGCUUUGCUGACGAGUGGCGGACGGGUGAGUAAUGUCUGGGAAACUGCCUGAUGGAGGGGGAUAACUACUGGAAACGGUAGCUAAUACCGCAUAACGUCGCAAGACCAAAGAGGGGGACCUUCGGGCCUCUUGCCAUCGGAUGUGCCCAGAUGGGAUUAGCUAGUAGGUGGGGUAACGGCUCACCUAGGCGACGAUCCCUAGCUGGUCUGAGAGGAUGACCAGCCACACUGGAACUGAGACACGGUCCAGACUCCUACGGGAGGCAGCAGUGGGGAAUAUUGCACAAUGGGCGCAAGCCUGAUGCAGCCAUGCCGCGUGUAUGAAGAAGGCCUUCGGGUUGUAAAGUACUUUCAGCGGGGAGGAAGGCGUUGAGGUUAAUAACCUCAGCGAUUGACGUUACCCGCAGAAGAAGCACCGGCUAACUCCGUGCCAGCAGCCGCGGUAAUACGGAGGGUGCAAGCGUUAAUCGGAAUUACUGGGCGUAAAGCGCACGCAGGCGGUCUGUCAAGUCGGAUGUGAAAUCCCCGGGCUCAACCUGGGAACUGCAUUCGAAACUGGCAGGCUAGAGUCUUGUAGAGGGGGGUAGAAUUCCAGGUGUAGCGGUGAAAUGCGUAGAGAUCUGGAGGAAUACCGGUGGCGAAGGCGGCCCCCUGCACAAAGACUGACGCUCAGGUGCGAAAGCGUGGGAGCAAACAGGAUUAGAUACCCUGGUAGUCCACGCCGUAAACGAUGUCGACUUGGAGGUUGUGC
Molecule: ribosomal RNA, 754 nt
Filed under: Enterobacter hormaechei
Lineage: Bacteria; Pseudomonadati; Pseudomonadota; Gammaproteobacteria; Enterobacterales; Enterobacteriaceae
Description: bacterial SSU rRNA
Rfam family: Bacterial small subunit ribosomal RNA
Source: RNAcentral